CCUACGGGAGGCAGCAGUGAGGAAUAUUGGUCAAUGGCCGUAAGGCUGAACCAGCCAAGCCGCGUGAAGGACGAAGGUGCCAAGCAUUGUAAACUUCUUUUGUCCAGGGACAAAAUCAGGCCCGAGACCCUGACCGAGGGUACUUGACGAAAAAGCAUCGGCUGACUCCGUGCCAGCAGCCGCGGUAAUGCGGGGGAUGCGAGCGUUAUCCGGAUUUAUUGGGUUUAAGGGGUGCGUGGGGGGGCUGUUAAGGCAGCGGCAAAAGCCAGGGGCUCAACCCCGGCAGGCCGUUGAAACUGGCUGUCUUGAGAUGUAGAGAGGUAUGCGGAAUGCGCGGUGUAGCGGUGAAAUGCGUAGAUAUUGCGAAGAACUCCGAUUGCGAAGGCAGCAUACCGGCGGCGAACUGACGCUGAGGCACGAAAGCGUGGGUAUCGAACAGGAUUAGAUACCCGGGUAGUC
This 459-nucleotide ribosomal RNA is filed under the name uncultured bacterium. RNAcentral describes it as "partial 16S ribosomal RNA". It matches the Rfam family "Bacterial small subunit ribosomal RNA", at positions 338 to 795 of the family's 1533-position model. The record is from RNAcentral.